This 35-nucleotide ribosomal RNA is filed under the name Laccaria amethysteo-occidentalis. Its description in RNAcentral is "partial 28S ribosomal RNA". RNAcentral also lists the same sequence under 5 other names. Lineage: Eukaryota; Fungi; Basidiomycota; Agaricomycetes; Agaricales; Hydnangiaceae. The record is from RNAcentral.
GGUAGGACUACCCGCUGAACUUAAGCAUAUCAAUA